Molecule: long non-coding RNA, 777 nt
Organism: Musa acuminata AAA Group (dessert banana)
Lineage: Eukaryota; Viridiplantae; Streptophyta; Magnoliopsida; Zingiberales; Musaceae
Exons: 3
Source: RefSeq, a predicted model, not a curated record
UGCACAGAUCACUGUGUUGGCUAUGAGUGAUGAAGAUGAGUUCAACGUGGGAAGUGCCAUGCACUGUGAUGUACAAGUCAUGGACAUGGCAAUGCAUGCAUAGAGCAAAAGAACGGCGGUCGAGCAAGAUGAACCACUUCUGGAUUCGUGCUGCCUCCAUGAUAUGAUUCACGUCUCAUGAUUGAUCAGCCUUUUUUCGAGCUGAGGGAGACUGCUUGUUUCGAGCUUCUGCGAUUAGAAUCUGAGCGCAGAGAGGAAGAGAAAGGAGUUCGAUGAGGAGGAACAACACAUGGGAGAAGCUGAGGAAGAUGUGGGAAUGAGAGAAGCUCCAUGGAGGGAGCAAUAACCGCACACUCCUUGGGGUCUGCAGAAAACCUAAGCCUUCCUCAGGAGCAAGUGAUUGUGAUGAGUGCCAAUAUGGGAUGCAGUCACUGCAGGCAGAGGGUCUCCAAGGUGGUCUCCAAAAUGAACACAGGCUUGGUGGAUUACAUGGUGGAUUUGCAAAAGAAAGAGAUCACAAUGAGGGGGGUUGUAGAGACCAAGAAGAGGAAGGUGCAUCCUAAUCACACAAGGAAGAAGAAGACACUAAGAAGCUUCUUGGGCUUCUUUAGACAGAAAUGUUGUUAUUGCUAGUUUCAUUAGUUGUGGAGUAACUCUUCCCACCAAAUUAGGAUUCAUGUUGACACCCAUUGUGAGUGUUGAUGUGAUUAGCUGAAAAAAUAUUUGUAGACCUUGUAACUAGUAGUAUUUGAUUUAUUAUUAAAUCAAAAUUAUAAU